Cyprinodon tularosa is the source of this 302-nucleotide long non-coding RNA. RefSeq lists it as uncharacterized. The record is from RefSeq and is a predicted model, not a curated record. Lineage: Eukaryota; Metazoa; Chordata; Actinopteri; Cyprinodontiformes; Cyprinodontidae. The transcript is spliced from 2 exons.
GUUUGGAUCUUCUGCCCCCCGAAAGGAUUGUUUGAGCUUCAUACUGAGCAGGGGAUUCAUCUCCACAAGAACGGUUCAAGUGCCGCAGGAAAUCUAAGUGGCAGUCAGCUCCACCGCUCCUCAAGGAACCAACUUAACCUGGGUAAAUCCUGUCCGCCCUCCAACGAGUCAACAAUUUCUGGAACAACCUACACCGACUGGAUUCUCGGAAGGACACCUUUUCUGGAAUCUGCCGGUUCACCAGCGUUCAGAGUAACACUGGACCCAUCUCGACUUGUUUUCAAUAAACCUGUUAAACCUUC